GAUGAGGUGUCCAAGUGCUUAUGGUGAUGGGCUGCUAAUCUAGUGUGCUGUGUACACAUGGGUUCAAAUCCCAUCCUCACUG
This 82-nucleotide transfer RNA is filed under the name Pelodiscus sinensis (Chinese soft-shelled turtle). It matches the Rfam family "tRNA". Rfam says of the family: Transfer RNA (tRNA) molecules are approximately 80 nucleotides in length. Their secondary structure includes four short double-helical elements and three loops (D, anti-codon, and T loops). The record is from Rfam by way of RNAcentral. Lineage: Eukaryota; Metazoa; Chordata; Testudines; Trionychidae.